This 467-nucleotide ribosomal RNA is filed under the name Acidovorax sp. Its description in RNAcentral is "bacterial SSU rRNA". It matches the Rfam family "Bacterial small subunit ribosomal RNA", at positions 395 to 855 of the family's 1533-position model. The record is from RNAcentral. Lineage: Bacteria; Pseudomonadati; Pseudomonadota; Betaproteobacteria; Burkholderiales; Comamonadaceae.
UGCCGCGUGCAGGAUGAAGGCCUUCGGGUUGUAAACUGCUUUUGUAGGGAACGAAAAGACUCCUUCUAAUAAAGGGGGUCCAUGACGGUACCGUAAGAAUAAGCACCGGCUAACUACGUGCCAGCAGCCGCGGUAAUACGUAGGGUGCGAGCGUUAAUCGGAAUUACUGGGCGUAAAGCGUGCGCAGGCGGUUAUGUAAGACAGAUGUGAAAUCCCCGGGCUCAACCUGGGAACUGCAUUUGUGACUGCAUAGCUAGAGUACGGUAGAGGGGGAUGGAAUUCCGCGUGUAGCAGUGAAAUGCGUAGAUAUGCGGAGGAACACCGAUGGCGAAGGCAAUCCCCUGGACCUGUACUGACGCUCAUGCACGAAAGCGUGGGGAGCAAACAGGAUUAGAUACCCUGGUAGUCCACGCCCUAAACGAUGUCAACUGGUUGUUGGGUCUUCACUGACUCAGUAACGAAGCUAA